AUUGAAGGUCUUCAACAUAAAUCGUUCCUUCGUUGACUGUUAUAAGGCGGGCUACAUACUGCGAGGUAGACCCACUAUGAAACCCGUCAGUUAUGAGUUGGCUAUAGGUUUAAAUCGGCCACGUCCAGAUGUAUUACCGCAUUGAAAUAUAGCGGUCUGUGUAUCAGCGCCCACUUCAAAACGCAGAAAUGCAGAAGAUGAUUAAUCUUUCCUACGAACGAAGUCUUGGAAUCUGGAGCAGGGUUUUCCUGUCUGAAUCCUAACUUGAGCUGCAAAUCGUGUUGCAUGCGAAGAUGCAAAUGUAUGGCUUUAAUUUGUAUUGUGACGUGCGUCAUAAAUCCCGAAUACUCGCGCUGGAGGGGAAAGGCCGCCUGACUGCCCUCCCUGGCUAGCGGACGCGGACUGUAGGUGUGACCGCUACCGAAUGUUCCAGACGCCGUAUUCCCCUCCCGAGGGAUGGUAGAAACUACCGGAAAUUACCAGAAUUGAAAGCUUCUAGUAGUCGUAAUUUCAAGGAAGCGUACUUCCAGACUUCCUGGUUUGGAAGCUUCGACAGCUGGGCCGGCGAUUAUAAAAAGGUCGCCUGCCCGAAUGCGGGUGGAUAAGUAGUUGUUGACAGCGGUGGCGACAGUUGAUAAGCGAGAGGAGCGAGUUGUUGAUAAGAAUGAGUGUGUGGAGCCAUAGAGCAGUCUGGUGUGGCGCUGAGCAAGAAGUGGUCGGCUGCGUGUGAGGCGCACCGCAUUCGUGGACCGUGGCGGCUGAGGAGACAGCGUGUGUCCAGUGGGGGCCGACGUGUGCGUGUGCGAAGAGAGGGUGUACAACAGCCAUUUCUCGCACUGAUGCAGGGUCACUGCUUAAUACGCUAGUGCUGGCAGAACAUACCAGAAAUCCCAAAACCCAAGUCCACAUCGCCAAUUCUUGACAGGAAUUUUGAUUUGUAUUGAUUCGUAAUUCAAGAGUCUCAGUCACAGGUAGUCUACACGUACUAGCAAACAUACUCUGUCCAUUUCUCAUGAAAAAUUGUACAUUCAGAAUCACGUUUUAAGUUUUUUAACAAAGAUGUUACAUAAGAUGUUUUUGUUCAAUUUAUCCUAGUUUCAUUUAACUAUGAACAACGCAAAUCAGUGAAUGUUGGGAAAAUGUACUCGCUACUUAAAACAUAGUUAGAAGCAGGGGCGCCUUCGACGUUGCGAUGGCUUAGGCGUCCUGGAAGUAGAAAUGUAACGUAAAAAUACAAGACUGAAAGGAAUAAAUAAAUAAGACGCCGUUAAAUAUAUAGAGUGGGGAAUAAGAGUCCAUCCCCACCCAUCGGUCACAUCUUCGUGGGUGAACAGACGAAAGCAAAGGUUUGUAGAGAUGCGUAGUAUUUGUUCUGUCUGCUACCGGUACAAGAACAGUGUGGGGUUGAGCCGUUUUAUUACACGUGGCUGGCUUCCUACACGUAUCUGUACGCCGUUUAAAACGGACAGUGCACCAUACCAAAGAGUAAUGAUUCUUCUCCCGGCCAUGUUUGAAUUUUCGUUCGUUGUUGACGUACGUCAUAUGCUUCAAGCAACUUUUUUGAUUCACUGUUGAGUUUCAAUGUGAGUGCUUAAUGCGCGCUCUUUCAGUAACUACACAAACACGUGUUAAUUAAUUGUAUUGUUUUUACUGUUAAGUCUGUUCGGCCAGGUUUAUGUGGCAAAACAAGAGUGCGAAAGAAAACAAGCACAAAUAUUUCUUUCGCAAAAGUUUUCUUGUUGCAGCCAACUAAAAUUGAGGCUUUGGUAGUAUUGCCUGACGAAAUGUGUGCCGUUACCCCCCCACUCCACCCUUGAGAACGCUGUACAGCAUUUUCAUCACUUGGCCGGUGACACGUGAAAAUGAUGAAUUAAUGUUUUGACGACUUUCUCAUCGAAUGUAUCUACGAUACCGACCUUCUUCUUUUGUGGACGUGAUUUCGCCUGUGUUGAAAAUGAAGUUGGCGUGCGUUUGUCAACUUCCUUUGAUAAUUCUUGCAAGUGUUCGCUUGAAAAUGCCAGUGGCAGCCAUCACCCUUGAGCCAACACUUUUAAAGGGAUUUUUAUGUCAUCCCCUGCCUCGUCUGGCUUAUAUGCCGACACGUCAUAACUUAUCUCUCGUCUUUGACUGUGAAUAAAUCUGUUAUCGCCUAUCUAAGACGUUUCGUAAUGGACAUCGGCCCACUGCCAUCUCUUUACAAAUUCUUCAGAACGAACUGCGACUAUAGUAUUGUCAUUUCUUCUCGUUUCAUCGUUUAAUGUUUCAAAGUUAUCACAUUCCAAGUCAAUAUCCAUCGGUUCAGGCGGCGGCUCACUCGAAAUACUCGCGCCGGCGUUGACACGCUCGGCUUUCUUUCUUUCAUUUAUAAAGUUUCAGAUAACCUCAAGAUAGAAAUCCGUUUUCAGUUACCACUGAGGGACGUGGAGGAAGAACUUUUAAAGAAUUAAUACACGUGUGCUAUGCCAAUAAAUGAUUAGUGUGUUGGACAUUUGAGGUUGAGACGGAAGGGAAAUGUUGAUUGCAGACUUGUGGUUUGUGAUACUGUGUGGUAUUGUUAGUGAUUCCCAGUCUUUUGGGGGGGAUGUAUGGCCUCCAUCUUCAGGGGCGAUACUUUCCUCCAAAAUGUUGGCAGCCUCAUACAAGACCUCAAGGCAUCAACAAAAAUGACCCAAACCAUCAUAAAGUAAGGAAUGUUUAUAAUAUAGUUUUUUCUGUGAAAUUUUACUGUGCUUUUCUGCCAUGUGACUGGUCAGAAUAAAGAUUGUCAAUAAAUACUAACAUUUUCAA
Zootermopsis nevadensis is the source of this 2787-nucleotide long non-coding RNA. RefSeq lists it as uncharacterized. Lineage: Eukaryota; Metazoa; Arthropoda; Insecta; Blattodea; Termopsidae. The record is from RefSeq and is a predicted model, not a curated record.